CAAUAGCGUAUAUUAAAGUUGUUGCAGUUAAAAAGCUCGUAGUUGGAUCUGUGGCGUACGGUGGGCUCCGGGCACUUGUUGUCUGAGUAGCUUGCCGUUGCCAUCCUUGGGUGGAACCUGUGUGGCAUUAGGUUGUCGUGCAGGGGAUGCCCAUCGCUUACUGUGAAAAAAUUAGAGUGUUCAAAGCAGGCUUAUGCCGUUGAAUAUAUUAGCAUGGAAUAAUGAGAUAGGACUUUUUCGCUAUUUUGUUGGUUUGCGCGAAGAGGUAAUGAUUAAUAGGGACAGUUGGGGGUAUUCGUAUUCCAUUGUCAGAGGUGAAAUUCUUGGAUUUUUGGAAGACGAACUACUGCGAAAGCAUUUACCAAGGAUGUUUUCAUUAA
This 380-nucleotide ribosomal RNA is filed under the name uncultured eukaryote. RNAcentral's name for it is "partial 18S ribosomal RNA". It matches the Rfam family "Eukaryotic small subunit ribosomal RNA", at positions 592 to 976 of the family's 1831-position model. The record is from RNAcentral.